Molecule: ribosomal RNA, 444 nt
Filed under: uncultured prokaryote
Description: bacterial SSU rRNA
Rfam family: Bacterial small subunit ribosomal RNA
Source: RNAcentral
UUUCGAAUAAUCCACAAUGGGCGCAAGCCUGAUGGUGCAAUGCCGCGUGGGGGAUGAAGGCCCUAGGGUCGUAAACCCCUGUCACCAAGGAACAAUAAGGUAGUUCAUAGCUAUCGAUGAGUUAACUUGGAGAGGAAGCAGUGGCUAACUCCGUGCCAGCAGCCGCGGUAAUACGGAGACUGCGAGCGUUACUCGGAUUCACUGGGCGUAAAGGGUGCGUAGGUUGUAAGGUAUGUCAGGUGUGAAAUCCCGGGGCUCAACUCCGGAACUGCGCCUGAAACUACCUUACUUGAGUAUAGUAGGGGAUAGCAGAAUUUCUGGUGUAGCGGUGAAAUGCGUAGAUAUCAGAAGGAAUACCAAUGGCGAAGGCAGCUAUCUGGGCUAAUACUGACACUGAGGCACGAAAGCGUGGGGAGCGAAAGGGAUUAGAUACCCCCGUAGUCC